UAGGGAAUCUUCCACAAUGGACGCAAGUCUGAUGGAGCAACGCCGCGUGAGUGAAGAAGGCUUUCGGGUCGUAAAACUCUGUUAUUGAAGAAGAACGUGUGUGACAGUAACUGGUCAUGCAGUGACGGUAUUCAAUCAGAAAGUCACGGCUAACUACGUGCCAGCAGCCGCGGUAAUACGUAGGUGGCAAGCGUUGUCCGGAUUUAUUGGGCGUAAAGCGAGUGCAGGCGGUCUUUUAAGUCUGAUGUGAAAGCCUUCAGCUUAACCGAAGAAGGGCAUCGGAAACUGGGAGACUUGAGUGCAGAAGAGGAGAGUGGAACUCCAUGUGUAGCAG
Molecule: ribosomal RNA, 334 nt
Filed under: uncultured bacterium
Lineage: Bacteria
Description: partial 16S ribosomal RNA
Rfam family: Bacterial small subunit ribosomal RNA
Source: RNAcentral